UUUAUUAUAUAUUUUAUGUUUAUUUUUUCGUACCACUGUAUGAAAAAUCCAAAAACACCAACAAACUAACAACACUUAGCCGGCAAAUAAAUGAAUGUCAUUCAAAAGAUGGCUUUGUUAACACAAAACACAAAAGGUAAAGGUUGUAGGAGAGUAAGAGAGAAAAUGAGAGCGCAAAAAACUUUUCCACACAGCAAAAUGGCAAUUGCAGUGAGUGUUGAGUGUAAAAGCUCAAGCACGCAGCUUUUACGCUUACCACUUUUCCGCGAUGAAGCAUUGCAGCCGAUACACGAGUGUUGGAACAGUUGCUGCGCGAUUACGGAACGGAACGGUUGUAAGCGGAAAAACCCCAAGCAUAGCCGUGUACUUGACAAUAUUUUGCUGGUGAAUUUUUUUCUUCCUCUUGGACGAACUCACCACCCAAACGCAGAGUGGUGUGAGUGCGCGCGUGUGUUUGUCGCCAGGGGGUGGCAGCUCCAUAUUAAUGCCUAGCAAUUGUUGCCUUGUUAGUGUGCAGUGUUCGAGUGUGUAUAUGUGAAAACGUAAGCAGCAAAGGAUGUAUAAGAAAAAAACAACAAAAACAGCAAUAAUACGAGUGUGUACCGAAACAGCUGUGACAAGCGAUGGCAAUUUUCGAAGUUUGUUUCAGCGCUGAAUUUAAAAGCGUGUGUUAAAUCAAAGUGAGCUUGUUACUGUGACUGUGUCUGUGUGGGUUGUGUGUGGACAUUUUGUUUUGUGUACAUGCAUACGCAUACAUACAUACGCGCGUGUUUAAUGAACAUACUCCGGGCAGCCGGUCGAAAAUAUGGGGUGAACACACACACACACACCUACAACCAACCAAAAUCAAAGCGUGUGCAAUAAAAUAAAAUAUGCGAAACAUUGUGGAUUUUUCAGUUUACAGCGCAUAACGGUAUGCUAUGUGUGGCACGAAUAAUGCCAGCGGAUUAAUAAACUGCAGACGAAAGGAUUAUUGCCGACAGCGUCAACGCACAAAAAGUGUUGCAUAUUUUAUGGCGUUGCGAGGCGAGUGAACAGCAUUAGAAAGAGAAAGAGUUACGCUUAAAAAUAGCAGAUUACGUAAACUUGCUGCACCAAAACACGCCAAAGUGCAUUUAAGUGAAAAAAAACCAUAAAAUAAAAUCUCCAUUGAAAGAAGGGAUUUAUUUAUUUGGAAUUUCAAGCAAUGGAUGUGCCUAUUUUAUAGCCGCUUGUGAGCGCGAGUGAUUUAAGCAGCGCAAAUAUUUGCCAGCCAACCAAAAAGCGUAAAAUAAAAGCAAAAAAACACAAAAAAUCCUCUACUCGCCGUGAAGUGCGGCAGGCGAGGCACAAAUACGUGUACGCUGUACGUGGAAGCAUCCGUGUUGUAACCUUGACAUGCGGCCUACAGCCAGCCAGCCAGCCCUUUAAACACAUACACACAGCCAUGCAAGCAUAUGUGUAGUGUACCGUUAGUGUGUGUGUAUAUGUGAACGUGCAACCUGCGGCCUACAUUCAAAAGCGAAUCGAGCAGACGAAAACGCAAAGAACGGCAGACGCAUAACGGCACAUAGCGGCAGACGAGCAGUCACUUCCUUAGCGUCACUGCCUGCUACACACCCUCGCACGCGCAGGCAAACACGCAGAGACGCUCAAGCAGCGUUAAAAGUACCAUUUAUGUGCGUGUGCAUAUUUUAUACAUAAACCUUGGUGUAUCUCACAUAUAUGUACGUAAAUAUAUAUGCAUGUGUGUGUGAAAGCUCGUCGCUUACGUAUGUAGGUACUCAGCUCGUCGGCUCCAGCAGUCUGUAAUUACUUUAGUUUCAUUUGUGUUUUCGUUUUUGUCACAACUGUCGAGUGGCAGACAAAAAGGCAACGGACAGUGGUCACGUGUGUGUGUGUGUAUAGUGUAUAAUUUGCCAAGUUGACGACUUGAAGUGUGGACUGCAGACCAAAAUAUAUAAAAAAAUUAAAUUUGUUAAAAAUAACAAAAAUAAAAACAAAUAAUAAAUUUAAUAAAAACUUGUGCUUUGUGUGCUCAAAAAUCGCGUCCGUUAUAAAAAAUUCCCCUUCGAUUUAGUUUUGUACCGUUAAGGCUCCUACUAGUUAGCGCUUCGUUUUGUUACCGCUUUGACGGCACUGUGAUGUACUUAUUCCCGUUACAUAACGCCUGUUACUUCAUCUCUCCACUUCAUCUCCGUAAACUACGUUCUCUACACCAGCAACGACUACAACAACAACAACAUCAUCUUCAUCUCCACCAAAAACGUCUCGAAACUCUACACUACCAGCUGGGAUUUUAUCUUCAAAACUCAAUCAUAGCCGAUGCUUUUGAAACAUGCCCAAACAAAGCAAUGUUGCCACGAUUACCGCUGCGACAGACGAUGGCGCUGUGAAGCCGCAUGAGUCCACUUUGAACGGUGGCGAUAAUAUCAUAACCAUCAGCACAAGCAGCAUCACCGACGAGUGCCACUCAUCAGCGCUCGACGAACAUUCGUUAAAACCGCCCGCAACAUCACCGAAAUCAACAACAGACAGUAACGAAACUGCCGAUCGUCAGCAUUCCUGCACAUAUUUGAAACCUACAGCUUCAGCGAUCGCCGUCUCCAAUACAGUAGCGACCAGUAACGCCGCGGAGCCCGCAACACAAACUCGCGCUUCCCCACAGUGUUGUGAUCUGUCGCGUUGCAUUUCGUAUCAAGAGAAUAUCGCCGAUGUGCAUCAUCGUCGCGGUCGUCGUUUGCAUGGCUUACAAUUGCCGCUACAUCCGCUACAAGUAUUCGGUUGGCUUGUGCUCAUACUCUUCGGUGUAGCCACAUUCUGUGUACUAAUACCGUCGUUCUCGAGUGAUAUACAGGGUCCACUGUACGGUCUUGUCGGCGGUUUGUUUGUCGUUCACGUGGUGUCACAUUUGACCGCACUGCUUACCGAUCCCGCCGAUCGUGAGCUGCAACGCGUGCAUCGCAACGAUCGCAUAGUGCCGGAAUUCGACCGCAACCGUCACGCGCAUGUCAUUGAAAACGGUCGCUGUCAUUUGUGUAAUAUACGCACUUCGUCGCAGCGCACAAAACACUGUUCGGUUUGUAAUAAGUGCGUCGGCAAGUUCGAUCAUCACUGCAAAUGGUUGAAUCACUGUAUCGGUUCGCGUAAUUAUGCGGCAUUUCUAAUGUGUGUGGUCAGUGCAGUGGCCGCGACGGUGGUCAUAGUCGCAGCCGUGGUGGCGCAAAUUGUGCUCUACUACGUCCAUCCCGAAUGGCUGAGCUUCUGGCAGUCCACAGACGCAAAUGUAACCAACGUAGCAAGCGGCUACCCCGCUGCGGUGCUCUACGCACGCAAUGCCAGCACGCUUAAUGAUACAACAGCCGAAGCUGGCAAUGCCACGGCCAACAUUGAAUUCGCCACAAAUGUUACCGCCAAUAUUAGCGCUUAUCUGCUGGAUACCGAUUUGUUGCCGGAUAAUGGGACGCUGCCAGCACUUGCUGAGAACGUGAGUACACUGAUUGCGGACACAAUCAACGACACCCUGCUGUUGCACUUGAAUCAAACAUACAGUGGAGCCGGCACAACGUCGGACGCGGCAGGCGUCACUUCGACCAGUAAUGUUACAGUGGCCACCAUAGCCGGCAUUGGUGUGAGCGAUACAAUAUUUUUGGUGCUUAUUGGUUUGUUGGGUCUGCUGGCCGCUAUUACCGCUGGAUUGCUGAUGCAUCUCUGCUUUUUCCAUAUAUACAUCUCAUUUUUGGGACUUACGACCUACGAGUACAUACGCAACCAUCGGCAAGCGCAGGAGCUCAAAGCCAAAGAAGCCAACGCCAAACAGCCAAAAAAAGAUCAUCAACAUUACCCUUUGACUCCGUCCAAAAAGACUAACGACUGUGGCCAAAUAUACUUUUGUUCAAGCGCACGACAUCCGAACGCCAUCAAUCCCGCUGAUGUGCAUUAUUUUGAAGCGCGUAAACCGCCGCCAAAACGCGAUGACAGUCCGCGCUCGCGUUUACAUUGCUGCGUUAAUUCCCGGGAAUAUCAUCAGUCCGCUUCAAAGACAUACUACAUGUGUUCGCUGCUCGAGGAGAACGCGGUGCAGUCGCCGCUUGCAAUAUCGCAUAUUAGCGGUGGCGACAGCACCAGAGCCGGGCGCAUGUACGAUGCAAGCGACACCGCUGAAGCAACAGAGAGAGGAUACAAGACCUUCCAUUGCUGUUCUUCAUUCGGCGCGAUGGCGACGCAACGUCGUGUCAGCGCUGCAACGUCCAAAGCCACAUUGGUCAGCGAUUUGGAGGCGAUAAGCGCGCGUCGCUCAUACAUGCAGUACACCGAGCAAUGUACGUUGUGUACCUUUCGCAUACGUAGUCCCAUAGUGAGUAAACGUGUCGGCGAUGUAAGCGCACGUACGGCCAGUGCCAAGCAACGCAGCGCCCAUGGACCGAGAGAGUUGAGUCCAACGCCGCGUACCGUUUCGGCGAGUUCGAAAGUGGUUAAUAGCGAGCAUCAACGCUGUUGUAUGAAGUCGAUAUCGAAGAAUCAGCGUUGGCGUCGAAAAUGGAAUUGUUGCUCGAAUGUGCCCGACAGUCCCGAUGUGCCGAAUGAUAUUAUCGCCGCAUUGGCGAUGCGUCACCAACACAGCACUGCCACCAGCAGCGGCAAGAAAGUAAAUGCCACAGAGAUACCAGUGCAUUUCAUUAAAACAGUCAAUGGUAGCGGCAGCGGUGAUAGCAGCACUGCCAGCCUCAGUGGUAGCCGCCCAACUUCUCCACGCAGUGCCAAUCUCAAAGCAAGUUCACGCGUACGCCACACACGCACCUGGCCAAUGCCACGCCUGCGACACAUGAUGCGUAUGCUCGGCCGUUAUCGUCGCACGCGUUGUCGUCAAACGGACGUCAACAAUGCAAUUAGUAGCGUUGAUGAGCAUCAGGUGAAACAAAAUCAAAUCCGCCCAUUACAUUUGCAGCCUAGCGGCAAUGGCGCCUACAGCCGUCAACAUCUUAAUAAUCACCAACAAGCGCAACAACAUUACAACGACAGCAGCUCACCACAGCCGCCCUCAUCCACAACGACAGCAUCGGAGCGUAGCGAUCAGAGCCUCUACAGUGAUUCGAGUAAUCUCACAACCCCCUCAGGUCAGACGCCCAAUGCCAUUGAAACGAUUCUGCCCACAUCAGUGAUACGUGACGACACGUCCAUGACAUAUACGACACCCAUGGGUAUCACAUUGCCACCGGCCUUGCCACCACCGACGCGUCGCAAAAUACCGAAUCCUACAAAUUUGGAAGAGCUCGCAGAGACACUGAGUUUUGUCUCGCAUUCGUCGGGCGGCAGUUCGGGCACGCUAUCGCCGGUGCAAAGACUUCCUACGCUGAGCAACGUUUAUCGCCGUCAGCGACGCAAACAUUUCUUACGUACACGUUCACCAACUUUGUCGCCAAUACACGAGACCGGUCUGUCGAAUCCAACAUCACCGCAACCGGGUCGCCAUAAUGCAAGCGCCACCGGCUCAAAUGCCGCUGUUUCGUCGGGUCUCUCUUGCGAUUCAGCUGAGUUGGCGCGUAAGAAUUCAUCGAAUAGUUCGCUACAUAGCGUUAGUUCCAAUUCUAGCAGUACUUAAAUAUUCAGAAAUUAUUAUUUUUUAUAUUUCAACUGUGGAAUCAUAUUGAAGAGUCGUGUAAGAUGUAAAGUUGUAAAAUUCCGUAACAAAAGCUCAAGAUGGAGAAUGAAGUCGUCGCGCCCACACCAACCAAUGCCAGUUCCACACCUACAACAACUACAACACCGCCGACCGAAGUACAAACAGCAAAAAGUGAUACAGCAGCAA
Molecule: RNA transcript, 5788 nt
Organism: Bactrocera dorsalis (oriental fruit fly)
Lineage: Eukaryota; Metazoa; Arthropoda; Insecta; Diptera; Tephritidae
Gene name: tRNA-dihydrouridine(16/17) synthase [NAD(P)(+)]-like
Exons: 2
Source: RefSeq, a predicted model, not a curated record